This 1171-nucleotide ribosomal RNA is filed under the name Miathyria marcella. RNAcentral's name for it is "partial 16S ribosomal RNA". Lineage: Eukaryota; Metazoa; Arthropoda; Insecta; Odonata; Libellulidae. The record is from RNAcentral.
ACAAUUAUAAUAUUACUACAAUUGUUAUUUUUUUUUUAGAAAAAUCUUUAUUUUUAGUAUAUUAACGAAAAAAUUUUUUUAGUGAUAGUUUAAUAGUACUGUGAAGGAAUUUUUGAAAUAACUUAAAAUUUUGAAUUUUAAAAAAGUAUAUUUUAUUUAUAGUACCUUUUGUAUCAGGGUUAAUUAAUUAAAAUAAUUUAUUUUUAUAUCUCGAUUUUAAAAGAGCUAAUUUAAUAUAUUAUUUAAUGUUUCAUAAUUAUUAAUAAUAUUAUUUAGUAGGGAAAUCCUAAUCGAUUUUAAAGGUAUCUAGUUUUUUAAUAAAUAAAUUUAAUUUACUUUAUUCAUUUAUAUUUUAUAUUUUAUUAUAAUAUAUUUGCUUAAGGAAAUAUUAUAGGGGAUAAGCUCUAUAUUAUUCCUAUAAUAAUUGAUUUAAUAAAUUUUUGUAGAAUUAAAAGUAUUCAUCAUUAUAGAGGUUGUUAUAAAUUAUAUUUUUUAUUAAUUGAUUUUUUUUUAUUUAGAAUAAUAUUAAAAUAUUAAAGUGAAUUUAUUAUUUUUAGUAAUAAUGAUUAAAUUAGUAUAAAAUUUUGUUUAUUAUUUGUAAUAAUUUAUGAUAAAAUAAGGAACUCGGCAAAUAUAAUUCUCGCCUGUUUAUCAAAAACAUGUCCUUUUGUGAUUAAUUUAAGGUCUGACCUGCCCGGUGAUUAAUUUAACGGCCGCGGUAUAUUGACCGUGCAAAGGUAGCAUAAUCAUUAGUCUUUUAAUAGAGGGCUGGAAUGAAGGGUUUAACGAGGAAUUGACUGUCUCAUUUUAUUUGUUUUAAAAUUUAAUUUUUUGGUUAAAAAGCUAAAAUAAUAUUGGAAGACGAGAAGACCCUAUAGAUCUUUAUAUAAUAAUAAAUAACUAUUAUUAUAUUUAUUUAGUUAUUUACUGUUAUAUUUUGUUGGGGUGACAAAAAUAUAUAAUAAACUUUUUUAUUUUAUUAACAUUAAUUUAUGAAUAAUAGAUCCAUUAAUAGUGAUUAUUAGACUAAGUUACCUUAGGGAUAACAGCGUAAUCCUCCUCCAGAGUUCAUAUUUACAGGAUGGGCUUGCGACCUCGAUGUUGGAUUAAGAUAAUAAUUAGGUGUAGCUGCUUAAUAUAUAGGUCUGUUCGACCUUUAAACUUUUAACAA